CUCGCUUGUGGGAUGGAAAAACACUUUCUGUUUAAAGAGUCGACCGAAAAGGCUUGGCCUCUCUGCUCUUUACAUAAGAAAGUGAAGAAUAACAACAAUGCCCACAGG
RNAcentral lists this microRNA precursor (108 nucleotides) under Brugia malayi. RNAcentral describes it as "microRNA bma-mir-9502 precursor". The record is from miRBase by way of RNAcentral. Lineage: Eukaryota; Metazoa; Nematoda; Chromadorea; Rhabditida; Onchocercidae.